UGGGGAAUUUUGCACAAUGGGGGAAACCCUGAUGCAGCGACGCCGCGUGAUUUAGAAGGCCUUCGGGUUGUAAAAAUCUUUUGUAUGGGAAGAAAAUGACAGUACCAUACGAAUAAGGACCGGCUAAUUACGUGCCAGCAGCCGCGGUAAUACGUAAGGUCCGAGCGUUGUCCGGAAUCAUUGGGCGUAAAGGGUACGUAGGCGGUAAGACAAGUUGAAGGUGAAAACCUGUGGCUCAACCAUAGGCUUGCCUACAAAACUGUUGAACUAGAGUACUGGAAAGGUGGGUGGAACUACACGAGUAGAGGUGAAAUUCGUAGAUAUGUGUAGGAAUGCCGAUGAUGAAGAUAACUCACUGGACAGAAACUGACGCUGAAGUGCGAAAGCUAGGGGAGCAAACAGG
RNAcentral lists this ribosomal RNA (403 nucleotides) under Verrucomicrobiota bacterium. RNAcentral describes it as "Verrucomicrobia bacterium partial 16S ribosomal RNA". It matches the Rfam family "Bacterial small subunit ribosomal RNA", at positions 355 to 776 of the family's 1533-position model. The record is from RNAcentral. Lineage: Bacteria; Pseudomonadati; Verrucomicrobiota.